GACGGAGGGUGCAAGCGUUGCUCGGAAUCACUGGGCGUAAAGGGUGCGUAGGCGGCCGCGCAAGUCUGGCGUGAAAGCCCCGGGCUCAGCCCGGGAAGGGCGCUCGAAACGGGGCGGCUCGAGUGCCGGAGGGGAGAGUGGAAUUCCUGGUGUAGCGGUGAAAUGCGUAGAUAUCAGGAGGAAUACCGGUGGCGAAAGCGACUCUCUGGACGGCAACUGACGCUGAGGCACGAAAGCGUGGGGAGCAAACAGG
Molecule: ribosomal RNA, 253 nt
Filed under: uncultured bacterium
Lineage: Bacteria
Description: partial 16S ribosomal RNA
Rfam family: Bacterial small subunit ribosomal RNA
Source: RNAcentral